UCCGGAGAGGGAGCCUGAGAGACGGCUACCAUAUCCAAGGAUAGCAGCAGGCGCGUAAAUUACCCACUGUGGACUCCACGAGGUAGUGACGAGAAAUAUCGAUGCGAAGCGUGUAUGCGUUUUGCUAUCGGAAUGAGAGCAAUGUAAAACCCUCAUCGAGGAUCAACUGGAGGGCAAGUCUGGUGCCAGCAGCCGCGGUAAUUCCAGCUCCAGAAGCAUAUGCUAAAGUUGUUGCAGUUAAAAAGCUCGUAGUUGAAUUUCUGGCAUGGGCGACCGGUGCUUUCCCUGAAUGGGGAUUGAUUGUCUGUGUUGCCUUGGCCAUCUUUYUCWUKUUUUUUUUGGKGAGARAUCUUUCACUGUAAUCAAAGCAGAGUGUUCCAAGCAGGUCGUAUGACCGGUAUGUUUAUUAUGGGAUGAUAAGAUAGGACUUGGGUGCUAUUUUGUUGGUUUGCACGCCUGAGUAAUGGUUAAUAGGAACAGUUGGGGGUAUUCGUAUUUAGGAGCUAGAGGUGAAAUUCUUGGAUUUCCGAAAGACGAACUAGAGCGAAGGCAUUUACCAAGCAUGUUUUCAUUAAUCAAGAACGAAAGUCUGGGGAUCGAAGAUGAUUAGAUACA
Molecule: ribosomal RNA, 615 nt
Filed under: Aurantiochytrium sp.
Lineage: Eukaryota; Bigyra; Thraustochytrida; Thraustochytriidae
Description: SSU rRNA
Rfam family: Eukaryotic small subunit ribosomal RNA
Source: RNAcentral